AAUAAAUAUAGUUUUGCACUGUUCAUAUCUUACGUUUGACCGUUCAUUUUAUUUGUAAUUUUUUUAUGAUUAAUAUUUUUAUUGUUAUUAGAUGAUAAAACAUAAAUAGUACUUUAUAUGUGACUAAUUUAUUUUAAUUUUCUCAUAAAUUUUUUAAAUAAGACGGAUGGUCAAACAUUGGAUACGGAUUCCUAUAGCUGCAUUUAUU
This is a non-coding RNA of Oryza glumipatula, 208 nucleotides long. NCBI's taxonomy places the organism in Eukaryota, Viridiplantae, Streptophyta, Magnoliopsida, Poales, Poaceae. The record is from Rfam.